GCAAAAUUCGCUCACAGAUAAAGAGACACUGUGUGUAAAUGUGUGAAAACCGCCGGAAAAUGCCCGUGAUUCCGUUCGCCGCCACGCGAUCUGGCAUCAGAGACUUCCUCCUCGCCGUCUCCGCCUUACUCUCCAUCUCUCUGCUCCUCUACCUCCACCACCUCGACCUCCCGCCCAACGUCGUCUCUCACUCCGCCGUCCAAUCUCGCGCCGCUCUCCCUCCGCCGCUCUCUCUCCACGGCAUCCUCUUCUCCAUCGCCUCCUCCUCUUCCUCCCUCCACCGCCGCGCUCCCUACCUCCGCGUCUGGCACCGCCCGAUCGCUCACCUCAACACUACAUUCAUCUUCCUCGACCGUCCCCCACGCCAGCCCCUCCCGCCAUCCCUCCCUCCCAUCAUCGUCCCGCCCGGCGCCGCCUCUCUAGCCGCCGGCCACCGCAUCGCUCGCAUUGUCAAGGACGCCGUCGCCUUAGACGCUCCCGGCGUUUGUUGGUACGUUUUCGGCGACGAUGAUACCUUGUUUUUCACGGGGAAUUUGGUGAGGAUUUUGUCGAAAUACGACCACAAUAAGUGGUAUUAUGUUGGCUCUAGCUCCGAGAGUUAUGAGCAGAAUGAGAAAUUUAGUUUUGACAUGGCGUAUGGGGGUGGUGGAUUCGCGAUCAGUGCGCCAUUGGCUCGGGUUUUGGCUAGGGUUCUCGAUUCAUGUAUCGGUAGGUACCGCCAUUUAUACGGAAGCGAUGCUCGAAUUUUCGCUUGCUUAGCUGAGCUAGGUGUCUCGUUGACUGUCGAGAAAGGGUUCCAUCAGGUUGAUGUUCGAGGAGAUUUAUUUGGGUUGCUUUCUGCACAUCCAUUAUCACUUGUUGCAUCACUGCAUCACAUAGAUGCUAUUGAACCAAUCUUUCCUGGUAGGACCCGGCUUAAUGCUUUGGAGCAUCUUUCCAAAGCUUCACGUGUUGAUCCUGCUAGGAUUUUCCAGCAGACUGUUUGCUACGACCACACUAGUUCAGUUACAGUUUCAAUCUCAUGGGGUUAUGCUGUUCAAGUGUAUGAAGGGAACCAACUUCUUCCUGAAGUACUCUCACUUCAGAGAACUUUUAGGCCAUGGAAGAGAGGAAAAGAUGUAUCUUCAAGCCGUUAUAUGUUCAACACAAGAGAUUACGCUAGUGAUCCAUGCAAAAGACCUGUUGCCUUCUUUCUGCAUACUGUUAGUGCUGAUACAACUGGUAUCUGGACUGAAUACACUAGACACAAUUCUGGAAAUUGUUCUAAAAUCAAAGCACUAGAGAGACUGAAAGCAGUUAGUCUUUAUUCUCACAAUCGAGACACUAAUACUGACCAGAUGGAAGCACCACGCCGUCAUUGCUGUGAUAUUUCAUCAUUUUCUGAUGAAACAAUGACUGUCCAAAUAAGAAAAUGUGGAAUUCUUGAAUUGAUUGCCAUGCGGGGAUAACUAAUCUUGCAUAGUGAGUGCAUUAGCCUUUGAUGUGGAACCUUGUAAUGGGAUGAAUGGAAUGGCAGUGUGGAUCAUAUCAUAGAAGCAAGCACACUGCAUUGCCAAGCCUGUGCAUUUCUCUUGGUGGUCAACCCAGUUCUUCAAGGGCAGAUAUCGGCAGGAGUUGUUCAAAUUCUUUAGUGAAGAUGUAACUAAUUUUUGAGGAAAAAUAUGUCCUAAGCUAAGCUGUUUACUUCCCACCCAGGUUACCGGGUCAACAAAGGAAAAAGCAAAGAUGCAGAUUACUAAAGUACCGUCCAAACCUCAAGCAUCAAAUCGCCUCGUAACCUUGAUGAUCAUUUCAUUACUUCUAUGCACGAUGUAUCUGCUUGCAUCAUUCUUGAUCCUCCCGAGCACGAAGGUAAUACAUUUGUCCAGUUCCUUACAAGGGUGGUCAUCACCAACUACCCUUGAACACAUAGUUUUUGGCAUUGCCUCGAAUGAGAAGUCCUGGCCUAGCAGGAAGGAUUACGUUAGAAUCUGGUGGAGGCCUCAGGAGAUGAGGGGUUGUGUAUUCUUGGAAGGCAUGCCACCAAACGGAACACUUGAUCAGGCUGAUGCCGGUUCUCUUCCUCCUAUAUGUGCAUCAGAGGACACGUCGAGGUUCCGUUACACAUACAGGCACGGCCACCGUUCAGCCAUACGCGUGGCACGUGUGGUGUUGGAGACCGUUGCCCUUAACCACCCCAAUGUGAGGUGGUUUGUGUUUGGGGAUGAUGACACACUUUUCUUCCCUGAGAAUCUUGUCAAGACUCUUUCAAAGUAUGAUGAUGGCCUGUGGUAUUACAUUGGGACGAACUCGGAGAGUUUUGCUCAGAACAAGCUCUUCUCCUAUGAAAUGGCCUUUGGAGGAGCUGGCUUUGCUAUCAGCUAUCCUCUGGCCAAGGUUUUGGCUUCUGUGCUCGAUUCGUGUUUGGUUCGAUACCCUCACCUCUACGGAAGCGACAGUAGGAUUCAAGCCUGCCUUGCGGAGCUCGGCAUCAGUCUCACUCAUGAGCCAGGAUUCCAUCAG
Molecule: RNA transcript, 2502 nt
Organism: Salvia miltiorrhiza (redroot sage)
Lineage: Eukaryota; Viridiplantae; Streptophyta; Magnoliopsida; Lamiales; Lamiaceae
Exons: 6
Source: RefSeq, a predicted model, not a curated record